Molecule: non-coding RNA, 1081 nt
Organism: Pelobates cultripes (western spadefoot toad)
Lineage: Eukaryota; Metazoa; Chordata; Amphibia; Anura; Pelobatidae
Source: the annotation of a GenBank genome assembly
CACCCAUCAUCCAGCACUCACACACCCAUCAUCCAGCACUCACUCACACACCCAUCAUCCAGCGCACACACACACACACACACACACACACCAUCCAGCACUCACUCACCCAUCAUCCAGCACUCACUCACACACCCAUCAUCCAGCACUCACUCUCACACCCAUCAUCCAGCACUCACUCUCACACCCAUCAUCCAGCACUCUCACACCCAUCAUCCAGCACUCUCACACCCAUCAUCCAGCACUCACACACCCAUCAUCCAGCACUCUCACACACAUCAUCCAGCACUCUCACACACAUCAUCCAGCACUCUCACACACAUCAUCCAGCACACACACCCAUCAUCCAGCACUCGCACACACCAUCCAGCGCUCACACACACGUCAACCAGCGUGCACACACACAUCAUCCUGCACACGCACACACUGCAUUCAUUAUACACACUUCACUCACUACAAACACACUACAUUCACUAUACACCCUCUGCAUUCACUAUACACACUCUGCAUUUAUUAUGCACAUUCUGCACUCACUACACACUACAUUCACUAUGCAUUCACUACAAACACACUACAUACACUGCAUUCAUUGUACACACUCUGCACUCACUACAAACACACUAAAUUCAUUAUACACAAUUUGCACUUACUACAAACACACUACAUUCAUUAUACACACUCUGCACUCACUACAAACACACUAAAUUCAUUAUACACAAUUUGCACUUACUACAAACACACUACAUUCAUUAUACACACUCUGCACUCACUACAAACACACUACAUUCUCUAUACACACUCUGCAUUCAUUAUACACACUCUGCACUCACUACAAAAACACUACAUUCACUAUACACACUGCAUUCACUACAAACACACUACAUUUAUAUUACACACUGCACUCACUACAAACACACUACAUUCAUUAUACACCCUCUGCACUCACUACAAACACACUACAUUCACUAUACACACUCUGCAUUCAUUAUACACACUCUGCACUCACUACAAAAACACUACAUUCACUAUACACACUGCAUUCACUACAAACACACUACAUUUAUUAUACACACUGCACUCA